GGUUAUCCGGAAAUUAUUGGGCGUAAAGAGCUCGUAGGCGGUUUGUUCGCGUCUGCCGUGAAAGUCCGGGGCUCAACUCCGGAUCUGCGGUGGGUACGGGCAGACUAGAGUGAUGUAGGGGAGACUGGAAUUCCUGGUGUAGCGGUGAAAUGCGCAGAUAUCAGGAGGAACACCGAUGGCGAAGGCAGGUCUCUGGGCAUUAACUGACGCUGAGGAGCGAAAGCAUGGGGAGCGAACAGGAUUAGAUACCCUGGUAGUCCAUGCCGUAAACGUUGGGCACUAGGUGUGGGGGACAUUCCACGUUUUCCGCGCCGUAGCUAACGCAUUAAGUGCCCCGCCUGGGGAGUACGGCCGCAAGGCUAAAACUCAAAGGAAUUGACGGGGGCCCGCACAAGCGGCGGAGCAUGCGGAUUAAUUCGAUGCAACGCGAAGAACCUUACCAAGGCUUGACAUGAACCGGAAACGUCUGGAAACAGGCGCCCCACUUGUGGUCGGUUUACAGGUGGUGCAUGGUUGUCGUCAGCUCGUGUCGUGAGAUGUUGGGUUAAGUCCCGCAACGAGCGCAACCCUCGUUCCAUGUUGCCAGCGCGUAAUGGCGGGGACUCAUGGGAGACUGCCGGGGUCAACUCGGAGGAAGGUGGGGACGACGUCAAAUCAUCAUGCCCCUUAUGUGUUGGGCUUCACGCAUGCUACAAUGG
Molecule: ribosomal RNA, 698 nt
Filed under: Pseudarthrobacter equi
Lineage: Bacteria; Bacillati; Actinomycetota; Actinomycetes; Micrococcales; Micrococcaceae
Description: bacterial SSU rRNA
Rfam family: Bacterial small subunit ribosomal RNA
Source: RNAcentral